RNAcentral lists this long non-coding RNA (1381 nucleotides) under Medicago truncatula (barrel medic). Its description in RNAcentral is "lncRNA gene2796". Lineage: Eukaryota; Viridiplantae; Streptophyta; Magnoliopsida; Fabales; Fabaceae. The record is from RNAcentral.
CCUCAACUUGAUUAUAAAGUGUACAUAUAUGUGAUCUGAAAUUAAAUCACAUACAAUUUCAUCUUUAUGUGUAUAGGUACAAUCUUUAAACAUAAAAUCAACAAGUGAUCAAACCAAUCCUAACUAAAUAUUAUUACACACAUAUCAAUCUUACACAAUGUCCUAUUUAAUUAAUUUUCCUAAAAAAGUCAAAUUCUAAUGACAUCUUUUUAUUUGCUUACAAUUUAGAUCAAUCAUAUUCUCAAUAGAAAAAUACUAAGUUCAGGUCCUCCAUUACCAUCAGGAUUCAGCAUGUAGAAUGCUUCUGAGUCACGGCUCCCAACGACUCGUUCAAACUUAGCUCUCAUAUACAUCAACUCACCCUCUGACCCGCCGCAACCACCACCGUCUUCCAACAUCGGAAUCACUCCAGCACCAACGGAGACGCUCUGCACGGUGGUCAGCACGUGCCAAUCUAGUUCCCCGCACGUGCGUGAAACUGCAUAGCCGCACUUCCUCCCAUUGCAGUACAUGGUCCAGUCAGGCUCAUGAAAGAGCCUGACUCGGCCUCCGCUGACAGCAGAGGCCGUUGAUGAUGUCUUCCGGCACUCGAGUGCUAUGCGUACGAGUCCAGAAGACAUCUCUUUUACAAGUGAAGAAGUGGACAUGGCGAGUUCGAGAAGGAGGAGAGGCUCAGCGCGAGGGUGAAGUUGGACGGCGAAUGAUAUAUGACCACGGCGGUUCCCGAAGAGUGUUCCGGUGACUUUGCGGCCGAGUGAAGGGGAGAUUGAAGUGGAGGAGAGGGUGGAAGGAAUGGUGAGCCAGUUGCAUGUUGGAAAUAUGGUUUGAAAAGUGAAGAUGUUGAGGAAAGAACGUAUAAGUGAAGAUAGCUUCUUUGUUGUUGUUGUUUGUUUUGCUUGUUGUUGACGUUGAUUGGAGAAGGAAGAGAUUGAGGGUGAUGAUCCUUGUCUUAUGAGAAGGUUGCCGGAGAAAUCAUCGGAUUCUGAGAGUCGGUGGUUUGAAGGGAUGAUUCUACGAUUGUUUCUUGUUGUGAUGGUGGCGCUUGUGCUUGUGCUUCUUUGGAGGGUAAGGUUUUGUUGUUGUUUCAUGCUUUGUUAGUUAGGAACACGGAAUGAAAUGAAACUGUAGACUAUACUUGUACAAAGAUGGAAAGAUUGUGAUUGAAGUUUCCUAGAUGAAGAGAGAGAAAGGAGGUGACAGAAGUGAUGAUAGUGUUGGGGGAAAGAGGGGAAAAAUUAAUAUAAAGGGAGGCUGUGGAGGGUUGUGCUUCUUAUGAUCAUCAUUUGUUGGACUUUUGUUUUGUACAUAUGGCCCUACACUACACUACUGUCCUACUUUGUUUACAACUAACUAGUGUGUGUAUAUUUUGGGUAUGUUUGCC